GCGCCCGUAGCUCAGCUGGAUAGAGCACCAGACUACGAAUCUGGGGGCCGGAGGUUCGAAUCCUUCCGGGCGCGCCA
Molecule: transfer RNA, 77 nt
Filed under: Erythrobacter sp.
Lineage: Bacteria; Pseudomonadati; Pseudomonadota; Alphaproteobacteria; Sphingomonadales; Erythrobacteraceae
Also listed under: 68 other names
Description: tRNA-Arg
Rfam family: tRNA
About the family: Transfer RNA (tRNA) molecules are approximately 80 nucleotides in length. Their secondary structure includes four short double-helical elements and three loops (D, anti-codon, and T loops). Further hydrogen bonds mediate the characteristic L-shaped molecular structure. tRNAs have two regions of fundamental functional importance: the anti-codon, which is responsible for specific mRNA codon recognition, and the 3' end, to which the tRNAs corresponding amino acid is attached (by aminoacyl-tRNA synthetases). tRNAs cope with the degeneracy of the genetic code in two manners: having more than one tRNA (with a specific anti-codon) for a particular amino acid; and 'wobble' base-pairing, i.e. permitting non-standard base-pairing at the 3rd anti-codon position.
Source: RNAcentral